Long non-coding RNA from Dromaius novaehollandiae (emu), 929 nucleotides. RefSeq lists it as uncharacterized. The transcript is spliced from 2 exons. Lineage: Eukaryota; Metazoa; Chordata; Aves; Casuariiformes; Dromaiidae. The record is from RefSeq and is a predicted model, not a curated record.
UUGUGUCCAAGAGCGUCCACCUCGGAUGCAGAGUGAGCUGGAUGCGAAGACAUGGCUCUGCUCCAGCUUGGCUCCCGACCAGCCCGAAGCCGGCGGGCCACAGGGACGGCGAUGCUCGGGGAGCGGCGCGAGCCCCUUCGGCAGCGGGCAGGGAACAGCCCUUGCCUCCUCCUGAGGCUCCGGAUCGGGAAUCAGCGCCGGCUUGGUUAAUUCAUUAGUUUUGAUGAGCAGCUUAGCAGCGCGGAUCGGUUAAGCGGCUCCCUCCCACCGCUCAGCUGACGGGAUGGGUUCGGCUCCACUAUCCGUAUCGGCAGAGCAGAGAGAAGGACCUGGAAGGCAGCACACGGACUGGGAAACAGUUUGAUGAAGAAGCAAAACCGAGCCCGAUCGAAACAGCUGCCUCCAUAAAGCACGGGGACGUGGAGCACCCCGCAGCUCCGGGAGGGCUGGGUGCCGAGGGCAGAGCCAGCGGGUGCCUGGCGGCUGGGGCUCCCCGCGGACACGAGCCCAGACCGGGAGGUCCACCUACCUCCGGAGCCGCAUGGCUCAGAUCAGGCCGGGGGGUUAUAUCUCAUUUCCCCGAUCCUGUCCAUGCGGAUGACUCUGCCAGCGCAUCCUUCUCCCCACGUGGGCUGCAUCUUCCUCCAGACGUAGGUUCCUCUGCAGCCUGUGUUUGGUAGUUGGUUAAAUUAGCUCAGGAAUAACCUGUUCGUGAUGAUGACGUGUUAUAGUGACCUUUAGUUUUCCAAAAAUAAAUAAAUAUAUAUAUGUGUGUGUGUGUUUUGCAGUUAUGAAUGCAAUUCCGCAAUCCACUUAGGAGUCGGUAAUUUUCUGGCUAAGGUGGGAAGUUGCUGACAUCUUGUGAUAUACGACUAGAUUGAUUGUAUUUACUUACCCUUUAACCUAAUAAAGGAAAAUAAUGUUCCUUA